UUCAUUUUCUCUGAUUUUUCCGUUGUUAGGAAGCACCUUUCUUUUCUCCGCCAUGGCCAAAACUUCCAACUCCAUCGAUACGAUGCCAGUGAGCUCUGAUGCAUUGAAGAUCGCCACCUCCCAACGGAGUCAACGAACAGAGGAAGAAGCUCGUCUUCCUGAAACAACGGCAACGGAGGCCGGCCGUGGAAACUGGUGACGUAGCUUGAGGUGAACGAUUCUCUCCUGAGGUUCUGGGCUUCGUGCAGCUUGCUGUAGAUCAGGAUGAGUAUGUAUUAAUAACCAGGUGCAUUUCAGCUGUGUGAUUGUUGAGAAAGGGCACAUUAUUGCAGCAGGAAGAAAUAGGACUAAUGAGAAACGGAAUGCAACAAGACGUGCAAAAAUGGAAGCUCUUGAUGUUCUUCUUGAACAGUGGCAGAGGACUGAAUUUUUAUCUGCAGAAGUUGCAGAGGAGUAUUCAGCAUGCUCCCUUUAUGUGACAUGUGAACUAUGCAUAAUGUGUGCAGCAGCAUUAUCAAUCAUUGGUACAUCUGUUGAUCAUACUGAAAUAAAACUAAUAAAUGAUUAGAUGACUCUUAGCCGUUUUAAGGUAUGAAGAAAGUAUGUUAUGACUGUGCAAAUGAAAUGUGGAGGCUGUGGCUCAGUGCUGUCGUUGCAUCAAUUAGCUCCGAGGAAUGAAUUAGGUCAGUUUCUGGACUUGCUUCUGUUGCUGAUUUCAUAUCUGCUUAGCUCCACUUUGAAAUUUUGACAUUUUACAAUUGACAACCAAAGCUUACUGGAGGUUUAUGAAUCUUGUUUUGAUUACUGAUUGACGUGCAUUUGUAGGGUAAAACAGAGUUCUCUCAUUAAUUUACAUGUAAAUAUGGAGAAC
This is a long non-coding RNA of Eucalyptus grandis, 871 nucleotides long. RefSeq lists it as uncharacterized. The transcript has 4 exons. NCBI's taxonomy places the organism in Eukaryota, Viridiplantae, Streptophyta, Magnoliopsida, Myrtales, Myrtaceae. The record is from RefSeq and is a predicted model, not a curated record.